Molecule: non-coding RNA, 21 nt
Filed under: Caenorhabditis elegans
Lineage: Eukaryota; Metazoa; Nematoda; Chromadorea; Rhabditida; Rhabditidae
Source: RNAcentral
UUUUAUUUAAGAAGUUCAAUU